UACAGAGAGUGCGAACGUUGUUCGGAAUUACUGGGCUUAAAGCGCACGUAGGCGGUGUCGUAAGUGUCAGGUGAAAUCCCACGGCUCACCCGUGGAACUGCCUGGCAGACUGCGAUACUCGAGUGUGGUAGGGGAGAGCGGAACUCCUGGUGGAGCGGUGAAAUGCGUAGAUAUCAGGAGGAACACCGGUGGUGUAGACGGCUUUCUGGACCGUAACUGACGCUGAGACACGAAAGCGUGGGUAGCAAACAGG
This 253-nucleotide ribosomal RNA is filed under the name uncultured bacterium. Its description in RNAcentral is "partial 16S ribosomal RNA". It matches the Rfam family "Bacterial small subunit ribosomal RNA", at positions 524 to 776 of the family's 1533-position model. The record is from RNAcentral.